CUGAAUUCCUCCGUGCAGGAGAAAACUGCACCCACUGAUGAUGGUUGACACUUGUAGACCAUUUACGGGGACCAAACAGUGGAUGUGAGAAUGAUCAGGUGGUGGCUCAUGUGUUUCAGCAGUGGCAACAGUGUGUCACCUCUGAUGGUGCAAAUUGUUAAAAGCAUGCUGCUCUUGUUCAUCACUGGUGGAGAUGGAUACCAAUUGUAGAGGCCGUGUUGAAGGGCUGUGUUUUGCAGCUGAGAAUUUGUUCCAUCAAAUAGUUUUAUAGGCCUCUUUGUUUCCACAGAGAGAAACAGGAGGCAUUACUUUCAAAGCAACCUACUUGUAUGUGAUAUCUUAAAUAGAAAUAGGGCUUGUUUUCUUCACUUUUCUUCUGUUUUCUUUUUUUUCUUGUUUUGGCAUUAUUUACACAUAAGCUACCAACAAUACCAAGAUGAGAAAAAGGAAACUGAACUGACAAAGCAUAUGACAAUAUUAUCUGGAAUUAACACUACUACAGUUGUGGAUUGAAAUAAUUCUCCUGGACAAGAAAUAAAACAAAAAUGAAGACAAAAACAUCCACCCCAGUAAAGAAAAGCAAGGACAGCAGCAGAGCCAGUGCAGGCAAAAAAUCAGUACUAGAAGCACAGCAACAGAGGACAAAGCAGAAGGAUGAGGGCUGCCCCUUGCAUAGCUGUAUACCUGGUCCUGCUGCUCACUACCACUUCCUGUGAUGCACAGCCUCCCAUCGUCUACCUUUUGAUUUCUUCAGCUACACAACAUAAAAGAAGAGAAUUACAACAAUAUAGACACAAGAAAAUUAAUUCCUGUCAUAGAAGGUGACAAGAAUUAUGAGGAAAAAAACAGUAAGGAACUUCACAACCUUAAUGUAACUGAACUCAAUUCUGGAAAGAGCAGCAGCAUCCCAAAUCGUCAGUGCAUAUAUUAGUUAAAAAAUAGAUUUGGAGAAGUGCUAUAAUUUAAUACUUUAAAUUUCACCAGCUUGCUGGUGAAAGUGAUACAGCAAAGGAAAAGUUACUUGAGCUACAUACUUCAGCUCUGUUCACAAAUAAUCAAUGCCCAAUUUAAAAGAACUAUUUUUUUCCACUCUACCUUGUUUUAUGGGGCUUCAUUAUUUUA
Molecule: non-coding RNA, 1122 nt
Organism: Coturnix japonica (Japanese quail)
Lineage: Eukaryota; Metazoa; Chordata; Aves; Galliformes; Phasianidae
Source: RefSeq, a predicted model, not a curated record